This 89-nucleotide ribosomal RNA is filed under the name Acinetobacter pittii. RNAcentral describes it as "partial 16S ribosomal RNA". It matches the Rfam family "Bacterial small subunit ribosomal RNA", at positions 1 to 88 of the family's 1533-position model. Lineage: Bacteria; Pseudomonadati; Pseudomonadota; Gammaproteobacteria; Moraxellales; Moraxellaceae. The record is from RNAcentral.
UAACUGAAGAGUUUGAUCAUGGCUCAGAUUGAACGCUGGCGGCAGGCUUAACACAUGCAAGUCGAGCGGAGAGAGGUAGCUUGCUACUG